CCUACGGGAGACUGCAGUGAGGACUAUUGGUCAAUGGACGAGAGUCUGAACCAGCCAAGUAGCGUGAAGGAUGACUGCCCUAUGGGUUGUAAACUUCUUUUAUAAAGGAAUAAAACGAGGCACGUGUGCCUUUUUGCAUUUACUUUAUGAAUAAGGAUCGGCUAACUCCGUGCCAGCAGCCGCGGUAAUACGGAGGAUCCGAGCGUUAUCCGGAUUGAUUGGGUUUAAAGGGAGCGUAGAUGGGUUGUUAAGUCAGUUGUGAAAGUUUGCGGCUCAACCGUAAAAUUGCAAUUGAUACUGGCAGUCUUGAGUACAGUUGAGGUAGGCGGAAUUCGUGGUGUAGCGGUGAAAUGCUUAGAUAUCACGAAGAACCCCGAUUGCGAAGGCAGCUUACUAAACUGUGACUGACAUUGAUGCUCGAAAGUGUGGGUAUCAAACAGGAUUAGAUACCCCAGUAGUC
This 460-nucleotide ribosomal RNA is filed under the name uncultured bacterium. Its description in RNAcentral is "partial 16S ribosomal RNA". It matches the Rfam family "Bacterial small subunit ribosomal RNA", at positions 338 to 795 of the family's 1533-position model. The record is from RNAcentral.